CCAAUAGCGUAUAUUAAAGUUGUUGCAGUUAAAAAGCUCGUAGUUGAAUUUCGGGGUCAGUAGUCUGGUCGUGCCACUGGUACGUACUGGGCUCACUGAUUCCUACUUCCUGAUGAACUGUAAUGCCAUUAAUUUGGUGUUGCAGGGAAACUGGACUGUUACUUUGAAAAAAUUAGAGUGUUUAAAGCAAGCUAACGCUUGAAUACAUUAGCAUGGAAUAAUGAAAUAGGACGUUCGAUCCUAUUUUGUUGGUUUCUAGGAUUGACGUAAUGAUUAAUAGGGAUAGUUGGGGGCAUUAGUAUUCAAUUGUCAGAGGUGAAAUUCUUGGAUUUAUUGAAGACUAACUACUGCGAAAGCAUUUGCCAAGGAUGUUUUCAUUAAUCAAGAACGAAAGUUAGGGGAUCGAAGACGAUCAGAUACCGUCGUAGUCUUAACCAUAAACUAUGCCGACUAGGGAUCGGAUGAUGUUAAUUUUUUAAUGACUCAUUCGGCGCCUUACG
This 500-nucleotide ribosomal RNA is filed under the name uncultured Glomeromycotina. RNAcentral's name for it is "partial small subunit ribosomal RNA". It matches the Rfam family "Eukaryotic small subunit ribosomal RNA", at positions 591 to 1092 of the family's 1831-position model. The record is from RNAcentral. Lineage: Eukaryota; Fungi; Glomeromycota.